RNAcentral lists this ribosomal RNA (495 nucleotides) under Veillonella dispar. RNAcentral's name for it is "bacterial SSU rRNA". It matches the Rfam family "Bacterial small subunit ribosomal RNA", at positions 28 to 492 of the family's 1533-position model. Lineage: Bacteria; Bacillati; Bacillota; Negativicutes; Veillonellales; Veillonellaceae. The record is from RNAcentral.
GACGAACGCUGGCGGCGUGCUUAACACAUGCAAGUCGAACGAAGAGCGAUGGAAGCUUGCUUCUAUCAAUCUUAGUGGCGAACGGGUGAGUAACGCGUAAUCAACCUGCCCUUCAGAGGGGGACAACAGUUGGAAACGACUGCUAAUACCGCAUACGAUCUGACCUCGGCAUCGAGGAUAGAUGAAAGGUGGCCUCUAUUUAUAAGCUAUCACUGAAGGAGGGGAUUGCGUCUGAUUAGCUAGUUGGAGGGGUAACGGCCCACCAAGGCGAAGAUCAGUAGCCGGUCUGAGAGGAUGAACGGCCACAUUGGGACUGAGACACGGCCCAGACUCCUACGGGAGGCAGCAGUGGGGAAUCUUCCGCAAUGGACGAAAGUCUGACGGAGCAACGCCGCGUGAGUGAUGACGGCCUUCGGGUUGUAAAGCUCUGUUAAUCGGGACGAAAGGCCUUCUUGCGAAUAGUUAGAAGGAUUGACGGUACCGGAAUAGAAAGCC